Molecule: ribosomal RNA, 1001 nt
Filed under: uncultured Thermoplasma sp.
Lineage: Archaea; Methanobacteriati; Thermoplasmatota; Thermoplasmata; Thermoplasmatales; Thermoplasmataceae
Description: bacterial SSU rRNA
Rfam family: Archaeal small subunit ribosomal RNA
Source: RNAcentral
AAUGNGNAAGCNCGCCACGGGAGCCUGAGUGCUUGACUUUUUGGUCAAGCUUUUCUGAUGCCUAAAAAGCAUCAGGAAUAAGGGCUGGGCAAGACGGGUGCCAGCCGCCGCGGUAACACCCGCAGCUCGAGUUGUGAUCACUUUUAUUGAGUCUAAAGCGUUCGUAACCGGUCUUAUAAAUCUUCAGAUAAAUUCUUCCGCUUAACGGAAGAACUUCUGAAGAGACUGUAAGACUUGGGACCGGGUGAGGUUGAAUGUACUUUCAGGGUAGGGGUAAAAUCCUGUAAUCCUGAAAGGACGACCGGUGGCGAAAGCGUUCAACUAGAACGGAUCCGACGGUGAGGGACGAAGGCUAGGGGAGCAAACCGGAUUAGAUACCCGGGUAGUCCUAGCUGUAAACGCUGCCCACUUGGUGUUGCUUCUCCGUUGAGGGGGGGCAGUGCCGUAGCGAAGGUGUUAAGUGGGUCACUUGGGGAGUACGGCCGCAAGGCUGAAACUUAAAGGAAUUGGCGGGGGAGCACCGCAACGGGAGGAGCGUGCGGUUUAAUUGGAUUCAACGCCGGAAAACUCACCGGGAGCGACUUCGGAUGAGGGNUCAACGCUGACGNAAUUUACCCCGAGUAGAAGGGAGACGNUGGUGCAUGGCCGUCGNUCAGCUCGUACCGUAGGGCGUUCACUUAAGUGUGAUAACGAGCAAGACCCCCAUCUCUAAUUGCCAGACUGUCUUACCGGGCAGAGGCACUUUAGAGGGACCGCCAGCGCUAAGCUGGAGGAAGGAGGGCUCGACGGCAGGUCAGUACGCCCCGAAUCUCCCGGCGCUACACGCGCGCUACAAAGGACGGGACAAUGAGCUGCAACCUCGAAAGGGGAAGCUAACCUCGAAACCCGUUCGUAGUCAGGACUGAGGGCUGUAACUCGCCCUCACGAAUGUGGAUUCCGUAGUAAUCGUAGGUCAACAGCUACGGUGAAUAUGCCCCUGCUCCUUGCACUCACCGCCCGUC